This is a long non-coding RNA of Triticum aestivum (bread wheat), 2348 nucleotides long. RefSeq lists it as uncharacterized. Lineage: Eukaryota; Viridiplantae; Streptophyta; Magnoliopsida; Poales; Poaceae. The record is from RefSeq and is a predicted model, not a curated record. The transcript has 2 exons.
CUCUCCUUCCAAUCAAAACAGGCGGUGGCCGCGGUGCUCUGCCAAAUCUCCAGAAAAUUAAAGGUCAGUCAUGAUGUAGGCCACUGAACAGCCGGUGUUCCAUCAAAGUAUGGCCGGGCGCCGUUCCAUCGACGGCCACCCAGAAUCGAGGAAGGCCAUCUCAAAAAAAAAAAAGAAUCGAGGAAGGCGCAAGCAUCGAUGCUCUGCUCCAUGGCCGCCUGUGGCGGGGACGAGUGGCGGAGAAUCCGGCUUCAUCAGCGAAGAUGACUUCCCCAGGAAUCGACCUUCGGGCUGACACAUCAUCUUAUUAGACUUUGGAAUACUUUGUUUUGUCAUCUUGAGGAGCUUGCUUUCCUGCAUCUUGCCAAACUGACACGCCUGAAAACUUAAUCAGGAUGUACCAACUUGUGGAAUUAUUUUCUAGGAUGAAGCAUAAUUGUGUAAAGAGGAUGUUUAUCGUCUAUAAGUUUCUAUAUCUCUCUGUAAGGCCCCUGUAUGGUUAUGCCAGUUUUACGAGCUAGCCAGCUAAGUGCUAGAUCUAUAUGGCGUAUUCUCAACUAGAUAUAUCAUGGCAAGCAGAUAUGAGUUAUUUUUUUAUCUGCUACUGUAUUAAACUGUGUAGUGUCCAUGUGUGGACAACUUUGCCCACUGAACAAUAAUUAGAAGAUCUGUUUAAACCUUUUCUGGACAUUUAUUUUAUUGGAAUCUUGAACUGGUAGAAAAUUGUUUCAGCUAAUGUCCUCUUCAUGUCUGAUAUUGAAUAGUUAUAAAGGAAUCAAGUCUCAUUUCUCUGCUAUGCUUAUUCAUACAAGUCUAUAAAAAUAUAUAGAUCCAUCGACACACCUCUAGAAAUUUAUUUCAGCUAAUGUCCUCUUCAUGCCUGCUAUUGAAUAGUUAUAAAGGAAUCAAAUCUCAUUUCUCCGCAUAUUUGGUCAGCUCUAAUAUUUUUCCAUGUAUUGGAGAUGGAUCUAUAAAAUAAAAAUAAAGUUAAUACUCAUACAUAUUAUGGUUUUCUUUAUAACUAACAGCUUUUAAACAGCUCUGACCUCUACUGUUUUUAUUUGAUGUAGAUUAUCAUCCUUCUACUAUGAUGUUACACUUUAUACUAAUUGAGCAUUGUUGCCUUUGAUUACAUUGCUCUGGUUUUCAUGCCCGACGUUAGAGCCAGGUAAAAAGGACUUCCAGCUUCAAUUGAAACCCAAGUCCGAUGACAUAGUAGAUAUAAAUAACAUUGUCUUUUUGAUCUACCCGAUUGGGUCGCCAAAUGAGUUGAACUAUUUGUCAUGCCUCUCAUUCUUGGAAUAUAAAUUUAUGAGCUAACAUCAUGUUUAUUUCUCACGGAUAUAUGAGUGUCAUAUCUUCAAUUAUCCAGAUGUAAAAUUGACGAUGAAUGAAUGAAGCUGCUUCACUUGAAAAUAUCAAACAUAUACAUAGUUCUGCGUACCACUUUUUCGAUGUUGAUCAAUCCUUUUUGUUAGCCACCCAUCAUAAUAUCAUUUUUAUCUGUACAUAAUUUAUGAGAAUGAUAGUUGAGUCCAUCUCUUAAAGAGAUACUUAGGAUUUAAGUCCACGUGAAAAACUACCUUGAGAUAAUUAAAUUGCCGACUUCACUAAUUCAAUUUUCCUUGGUAAAACAAAUAUUUAAAACAAGUUGAUUACGGAUGUCCCGCAGCAACGCGCGGGGAAUCAUCUAGUUAAUAUAGUUCUUCUUUUUCGUAAGGGAUAAAGAUGGCGCAUCCUUCCAAUCUUUUAUUUAUGGUCAACAUUGGUAGGGAGAUUGACCUAUUUGGUUCGUAGAACUACAUUGACCACUAAUUCAACUAUGUAUGUCUUCGUAAUGGCAGCCGGUUUGAUGUUUGACAUGUAUCCUCUGUGUAACUUCCCUCAACCCUGCAUACUUGCUCUGGACCAUUAAUACUGCAUGUUUUUCCUCGAUAUUAUCAUUGACUCUGCCAAGCAAGGUUCUAUCUCUUUACAGGGGCUCUGUAGAAUUGGGAAGCAUGACAUUCCUAUGUAUGACAGAUCUUGGACAAAAUGGGAAGCGAGACUACACAAUGAAGAUCCGAAACUUAUUAAUAUUGGCUAUUAAAUCAACCACUCUGAAGUGAUGAAUAUAGUUAUUGGUAUUUAGAAUUUAGCAAUAUAUUCACCUCAGAUGGUUAGCACACAAUACUACUUCUCUAUGGCUAACUUUGGGGAACGGAUCCUCUAACAUCAUGAAGGGAUGUCAUAAAGGUACAGUGUAAUCCCAGUGCAAAACGAAGAAGGGAUGUCACGGGCACUGUAGCAAAGAUAAUGUGCGCAAUUACUGUUCAAAGAAAAUAAAAUCCGAAAUUAAUUUUAUUGCA